RNAcentral lists this ribosomal RNA (976 nucleotides) under Ustilaginaceae sp. LM444. Its description in RNAcentral is "bacterial SSU rRNA". The stretch from base 1 to 353 matches the Rfam family "Eukaryotic small subunit ribosomal RNA", at positions 1483 to 1831 of the family's 1831-position model. The record is from RNAcentral. Lineage: Eukaryota; Fungi; Basidiomycota; Ustilaginomycetes; Ustilaginales; Ustilaginaceae.
CGGGCUGCACGCGCGCUACACUGACAGAAGACAACGAGUGGUGCCCCUUGUCCGAAAUGACUGGGUAAACUUGUGAAACUUUGUCGUGCUGGGGAUGGAGCUUUGUAAUUUUUGCUCUUCAACGAGGAAUUCCUAGUAAGCGCAAGUCAUCAGCUUGCGUUGACUACGUCCCUGCCCUUUGUACACACCGCCCGUCGCUACUACCGAUUGAAUGGCUUAGUGAGGACUUGGGAGAGUACAUCGGGGAGCCAGCAAUGGCACCCUGACGGCUCAAACUCUUACAAACUUGGUCAUUUAGAGGAAGUAAAAGUCGUAACAAGGUAUCUGUAGGUGAACCUGCAGAUGGAUCAUUUCGAUGAAAAACCUUUUUUUCUGAGGUGUGGCUCGCACCUGUCCAACUAAACUUGAGCUACCCUUUUAUACACGGUUGCAUCGGUCGGCCUGUCCAACAGUGCGCGCGCGAAAUUUAUUUUCCGCUGCGCUGAGCAGACGGGUCGGCACUUUACACAAACACUUUUGAUAAUCUAGGAUUUGAAUGAAAGUUCAUUUUUAUGAUGGAUCCGACUGGUAAUGCGGUCGUCUAAAUCUAAAAAACAACUUUUGGCAACGGAUCUCUUGGUUCUCCCAUCGAUGAAGAACGCAGCGAAUUGCGAUAAGUAAUGUGAAUUGCAGAAGUGAAUCAUCGAAUCUUUGAACGCACCUUGCGCUCCCGGCAGAUCUAAUCUGGGGAGCAUGCCUGUUUGAGGGCCGCGAAUUGUUUCGAACGACAGCUUUUUUCAGUAAGAGCUGGCGGAAUCGGUAUUGAGGGUCUUUUUUGCCAUUCCCGUGGCUCCCUCGAAAUGCAUUAACCGCAUCCCUUUUGAUAGGCGAAAAAACGGACGAAAGCUCCGAUUUUUCGCCCCUUUUUUUUCCUGGCGGGGGUUUUGGAAAAAAAUCAGGGACUUUCGGAAGGCCGGAAAAAAAGGGGUUAAAAGCU